RNAcentral lists this long non-coding RNA (2935 nucleotides) under Podarcis lilfordi (Lilford's wall lizard). The record is from RNAcentral. Lineage: Eukaryota; Metazoa; Chordata; Lepidosauria; Squamata; Lacertidae.
UGGAAGUGCACUCCAUUCUCUCUCUUGAGAGAGAGAGAGCAAUGGAUGCCAACAAGUAGUUUUUGUUGAUUAAAUUCUGUCACCUCACACUUUUGCUGUGCUCAAAAAUCAUCCUGUCUAGAUUUUUAGGAUAGCACUCAAAUGUGUUUAACUUUAUUCAGGCAAGCAGUUAAAUAUUUUUUAACUUUUUAAGGCCUGUGGCUCAGUGACAGAGCAUCUACUUUUCAUGCAGAAAGCCCCAGCGUCAAUACCCAGUCUCUUCCGGUAGUGCUGAGAGAGACCCCUGCCUGACACCCUGCAGAACAACGCUGAGCUUGAUGGGCUUCAUAUAAGGCCCCUGCCUAUGCCCCCAUGUUAAUCUGUGGACAGCCCUGAUUUUGGUGUGUGGACAGUGGCCUCUCCGCCUUACAAAAACGCAGCUGGUGGGGACCGCUUUGUCAAGGAAGGCUUUGCAGUUUUAAACAGCCUUUUUUUAUUACCAUGGCCAUAAAUAGCAAACCGCCCCAAAUAUUACUAGGGGUUUUUUUUGUUGGCUUUGACCAAUGAAGUAGAACAAGACCUCUGAAUACCCCAUUAGUUCCAGUGCUGCGCUUUGACGACUCUGCACCGGCAGCUCUUUUUCUAUAUAAGUCACUUGCUUCACCCGAGUCUCUUAACAAAUACUGUUGACAGGCACCAUUGCAAUUUUUCUGCAUGUUCUGACAGUUUAAUUCAGUACCUCCUGGCUAAGCAGCCUGAGCCUGAGGGGGUAAUUCAGUGUGUUGGCAUUGCGCUGCUGCAAUUAAGAUAAUUAAGGGAGCUGGGAUGGGUUGGCAAAGCUUUCCUCCUCCUGCAGCUUUGAGAGAGAAAGAGAGAGAGAGCACUUUCCAGUCCCCACAUGGGAUGCACACAGGCUCCCCCUUUGGGAUAGAGGGCAGCAGAAUUUAUUAUUAACAAGAUGUUUACUUCCAGGUAUCAAAUUGAUUUGUAUUUUCCCCUAAUUCACAUAACCUCCCUCUUUCCUUAUGUCUGAUAUGAUUUCUUGCUUAGACAUCAUGGACUACUGCUUGGCCAUGCAGAAUGGGUUUAUUUAGCCCCCUAACCACCCAAAAGCUGUUUACUUCAGCUGCUUGCUGGAGACUACUCAGUGAUCUCUUUAAUUAUCACUAUUAGAGUGAUAAUGAUUCAAGAGCAAAUAUCAAGAACCUUGGCACUUGCUUUCCUCUCCCUAGCACAGCGAUAAACAGGCACAACCAACAGAAGGCACCCUAUUUGCAUCUUUUAAAAGCCCUUUUUAGAACUCCACAUGAAGAGAGGAGGAAAAUUGCUAGGCGGUUAAAAAUAUUGCCCUAAAGAAUUUAUCCUAUAACCCAAUUUUGUGUUGUAAAGGAAAUGUAGCUUAUUCACAGACAUUUCAUCAAGAAUGUAACACCAUUCAUGUUCUCAGUGACAAGCAAGAGAAUUAAUGCAGGUGAAAGGAAGUUAAAAUGUUCUCAUAUCCAAGCGUGCUUCUGAGGAAUUGUAAGACUUUUCACAAGUACACUGUGAAAUCCUCUGGUGGUGCAGAGGUUCCUGUUCUCACUGUUGCUGCAGUUGAUUCAGCUGAUUUAUAUAUAGAAUCUUAGAGUUGGAAUGGAUCCAGGGGUCAUCUAGUCCAACCCCCUGCAAUGCAGGAAUCUCAACUAAAGCAUCCAUGACAGAUGGCCAUCCAGCCUCUGCUUAAAAACUUCCAAGGAAGUAGAGUCCACCACCUUUUGUGGGAGUCUCUUCUACUGCCGAACCACUCUUAUUGUCAGAAAGUUUUCCUGAAUGUUUAGUAGGAAUCUCCCUUCUUGUAACUUGAAGCCAUUGGUUCUAGUCCUACCGUCCAGAGCAGGAGAAAACAAGCAAGUUCCCUCUUCCAUGUGACAGCCCUUAAGAUAUUUGAAGAUGGCUAUCCUACCUCCUCUCAGUCUUCUUUGUAGGGACUUCGCUUGUUCUCCAAGAACUCUCAAAGAUCAUAGACAAUUUUAUAUUUCUAUAAAAUAGUUUUAUCCCAUUUGUCAGCUGAAAAUGCUCCCAGAGUGUCUUGGGUGGUGCCUUCAGCCUUGCAAUCUGAAAGACAUGACACAAAAGGAAUAGGGGAUGGGGAGGGAGGAGAACAGGGGAAUUGAAGUAUCAGUUCUUAAAGGUACAGUUCUUUUAAAAAGCAGCUGGUGUUAAAAAUAAAAUUAUUUACCUAGAGCAUUUAUUAUGCUUUUCUGUGUAUGCGUGCAAAGUGGUUAUAUGUAAAUUAAAAAUGACUCCAUACAACAGCUUUAAUAAAAUGCACUUGCGAGCCUCCAAGGCAAACACAGUUGACUAUCCUUGCACUGCACCCCACCAGGAAAUUGAUAAAUCUGUGGAUUUUGCUGCUUGCUUUGGACCACAAAACAAUGGAAGGGGUUGUUACGCACUUGGCAGACUGCAAUGCAUGACUGGUGGUGGUGUUUAGGCUGGCAGCUCACAAGCUGCAUAGGCCUGGCUGAAUCUCCACCUCUUCCUGUUUGUGAGAGUGCUUUCUGUGUCUGAGAUGGCUUCAAGUUUCUGCAUUUCUAGGCAAUGGAAGACUGAAGCCAUCAACAUUCCUGCCUUCCUGCCUCCUUUGUUUCAUGUGAUAUCUGAGAAGGGCACCACAAAAUAAGAAGCAGCAGUGUGAGCCUAGCAGUCUUCCAGCAGGAGAGGACAUAUUUAAUCAACCCCGGUCAGCCUUGGAAAAUUUGAAAUGUUUAGCAAUGUGGAGUCAUUUGGAAGUUAACCACAAUUUUGCCCCUGUGUUUGCGGGGAAAGAAGAGGGGGUGGGCAUUUAAAACUGGUGCUUGACGUUGAUACAGAGUCCGUUACUUUUUCUUGACUCAACCUUUCCCUCAGUUUUUCAGAAAGUGUUAUGUCCCAAAUUACAUCAUACCAUUUUUGUAUGUUUAAAUCCUUUGCCUUU